AUACAGUACAAAAGAAUUAUUUAACGCUGAAUUUAGUGAAACAAGUACAAAUAUUAUUUUUGUUCUAUAAGGAUAAUAAGCAAUCAUUUUUGAGCUUAAAACAAAUUGCCCUGUUUUCUAUUUCAUAGUUGUACUAACACAUAGUAGCAUUCUCAGAGAAUAUAAGUUAUCAAGCAGUAACAAAUGGCAGUAAACAAGACAAAUCAUGAUAACUUUGUUAAAUUUUCCUCAGAUUCACGUAUUCACAGGCCAGAUGUCCGAAAAUAAUUUACUUUGGAAAGCAAUUUUCACAUAGCAUUGGCUUAAACGUUCAAGAUUCGCUAUGUCUGCCUUUUUUAAACACUUAGACUGCUUGAUGCAUUUUACAAUUUCCUUCUCACGUAAACAGAAUGAUCAUUUUCUUGAUUAGUAUAUCGCCGCUUCAAUAGUUGAAACAGCUUUGCAAUAGAACAAAAAAGUCAAUAAACUGAAAACACAAAAUAACAUAGGCAUACUGCGUUGGCAAACUAAAAUAUUUCCAUUUUGUAAUUUCGACUCACUUGCGGUCAUCUCUGGGCAACCGCUAAAGCCCGUUACAGAAUUACAUUUUGAUUCAACGUUACAAGUCGAGAUAUGAAGAUAGCAACUGAAAUGCGUUAAUGAGUUAUGUUAUUAGUCUGAAUUAAAGAGGAUUUUUUACUAGCAAUACUGGCAGAAAUAAAUCGUUAUUUAAAACAUUUUUACGUAUCAAAAUGAAAUGCUUUAUAGGUAUGAAAAACCUGAUUGUAACAAUUCAAGUUGUUAUUUCAUGUUGUAAUUUUCAGUUCACGGACAUCUGCCUACAGUUUAUUUUUUAUUUGCAUUUUUUCCUCUCGUUUCUACGUUCAACGACGUGCUAAUUUUCCUUAUUCCCCUCGGUAUGUUUUCGUUCGUUUUACGGCAGAGCGCUCAGUUUUUGUUGAAAGUAAUUUCUUCCAAGUGCAGUGCUAAUUCACCAUCGUAGACAACAUGUAAGUUUUGUUUAUGAAGGCAACUUGGAAGCCAGAAUAGCUGCUGAAAAAAUACUACAAUAAACAAGAACAAGACUUGAGGGCUAUCUAGAUUGGGCAAAUAAGCUAUUUUUAUCAACAACACCUGUUCCAACGCUGACUGCGGUUUCACAUCCUCAAGGCUUGAAUUAAAAGGAAAAAUAUCCAUCGCGUUAGGCGGCUGACGAGAAUACUUUAAAACAACAGGCAUUUGCGUCAAUGAGCCGACGUUUAUUAAGAAGUCUCCUAUAGUGCGGGAAAACUGUCAUUCAGUAAGGUAAGGCUUUUCAUGUUGCUAAUUUACCGGUCUUAAAGAAAAAUAUAUUACAAAUAUCCGGAAAUCCAAUUCGGACGCGACGUAUGCCGCAGAAAGCAUUAGCAAAAUGUAAACAGAAAAGCGCUCUAAUGCCAAAUCCAAAACCGGCUAAAUUCAGCUGGUGGCAAAUACAGUACUGUCUCACGCGUUUGAAUUUCAUGUUCGAACCAGUGGUCGACUCGCCGAGUACGAUGGCUAAAGAACCAUGGAAGAUAAGUGGAAUUGAAAUUUUUUAAAAAAAAGGAACAAUAAAGGUAGCUCUUUAAGAUUCAUUUCAACCGAUUUCACUGGCAUCACACUGGCUUUCAGCAAAGCAAGCCGGUCGUUUUGUUUUUAAGCCGCGAUCAAUGAAUUGUUGAAUAAUUUAAAAACCCAACCAAAGGCAAAUUAUUAAAACGUUUUGAGCCAAUGAGAUGUACUAAAAAGAAAUCAACGCUACUAUAUGGUUCUUUCAAAAUUGAUCUCAAGGGGAAGUCUCCUUAGCUGACAUGAAUUGCCACUCUAAUGUCGGUAGGGUCACAAGUUAGCCAGUUCUGAUUGGCAAAGAGAGCUUUGCAGUGCGUCCCUAAUUUCGUAUUGAGCUCUUUAGUAAGGUUGUCUUCCGGCGGCAAGCCAGUCUGCUUGAAAGCGUAAACAGUGAUAGACAAAAUAAACAAUUUCAUUUUGAUUCGUGAUUACAAUUCCAAAUUUAAAUCCACACAAGUUUCAAUUUUCUGUGAAUUAAUGUUGAGUUAGAAUUGCUCUCUCUCGCUGAGAGCUAUUCCGGAUUUGACGUCAAUUGAUAUGGAACUUCAGGCUACCUAUUUGUAGAUUCUAAUUCUUUGUCAUGAAGAGUAAUUCACUGAAUCUCCCCUAUCUGAAAUUAACAGCUCUCUAUUGACUUAAGUCCAAUUAUGUCGAACUUUUCAGAGUCAGAAUCAUCGCGUUACGACUUUUACUAUUUGCACGUUAUCGAUUGAUAAGAAGGAGUUUUAAAUAUAUGAUCCAUUUAAAUAUAUUUUUUUUAGUUGAGCUUAAUUGCGUAGGCGGCCCAAUAUGCACAUUCUCAUUGUAUUGGACCCCAACACAAAAACAUCAUUUUCCUAUUUGACGCCAUUCAGUUGUGUGCCUUUUUAAUAUAUUCUGAAUAUAUCCGAAAUACCGUGUUAUCUAAAUUAUCGACUUCUGAAACGGGCCUAAAUUUAUUUAUACAAAUUGUCUGCCAAAAUUAGGUUGUGGUCUUGCAUUAGAAAAUGUCUGUCAUUCCUUUUGUUGACUAAUUUAUAGUAAUAGAGCCUUAUCUAGAGCAAAAUUCAUUGUGCUCGACUGCAGUCGAUAUGUUUUCAAACGAUGGCAGCCGUGGGAAAAAGAUUUUUAAAGCAUUCUUACUGAGCAAUAAGAUUCAGGGACAUAUAUCCAAACGGGCGCAGAUCCUGUACUUUUAAAAUUCAUUUAACCGCGGUGACAAAUGGGAAUUCGGAAUUCGCCAAUUAGCGCUGAUAAUAAGUUGAGUUCAAGAUCCAUAUCGAGAUCGUGGUUUUGUUGGGUGGAAACUCUCUGGUGACAUAAUUAAGUGACGCAAAUGCUUUGAGUUGAACUUGCACACAACAAAAUGGUAAAGGAAACGUUGACAAUUUGGAAUGUCAUAAUGUAGCAUUUUGGAACGAGAAUCGUCGAAAGUCCGCUAGAAAUGGAAUAGUCGGAGGUGUGGACCGGCUUUAGAAGAAAAAGCGUUCCUUCGUUGUCGAUCAACCAUCAACUCCGGACAGACGGCAUCCGUGAUAACAAUCACC
This is an unclassified non-coding RNA of Orbicella faveolata, 3095 nucleotides long. The record is from RefSeq and is a predicted model, not a curated record. Lineage: Eukaryota; Metazoa; Cnidaria; Anthozoa; Scleractinia; Merulinidae.